UCCUUUGGGUUGUGGGGAUA
This 20-nucleotide microRNA is filed under the name Schistosoma japonicum. RNAcentral describes it as "sja-miR-3490". The record is from miRBase by way of RNAcentral. Lineage: Eukaryota; Metazoa; Platyhelminthes; Trematoda; Strigeidida; Schistosomatidae.